CACUGGGUAACCUACCUAUAAGACUGGGACAACUUCGGGAAACCGGAGCUAAUACCGGAUAAGAUAUCGAACCGCAUGGUUCGAUAGUGAAAGANGGUUUUGCUAUCACUUAUAGAUGGACCCGCGCCGUAUUAGCUAGUUGGUGAGGUAACGGCUCACCAAGGCAACGAUACGUAGCCGACCUGAGAGGGUGAUCGGCCACACUGGAACUGAGACACGGUCCAGACUCCUACGGGAGGCAGCAGGG
Molecule: ribosomal RNA, 247 nt
Filed under: uncultured Staphylococcus sp.
Lineage: Bacteria; Bacillati; Bacillota; Bacilli; Caryophanales; Staphylococcaceae
Description: partial 16S ribosomal RNA
Rfam family: Bacterial small subunit ribosomal RNA
Source: RNAcentral